GACGAACGCUGGCGGCGUGCUUAACACAUGCAAGUCGAACGGAAAGGCCUGCUUUCCCUUGUGGAUUGCGGGUACUCGAGUGGCGAACGGGUGAGUAACACGUGAGUGAUCUGCCCCCAACUUGGGUAUAAGCCUGUGAAACUGGGUCUAAUUCCCGAUAGGACUGCAGGGUGGUGCCUGUGGUGGAAAACGAUUUUCUAGUGGUUGGGGAUGAGCUCGCGGCCUAUCAGCUUGUUGGUGGGGGAAUGGCCUACCAAGGCGGCGACGGGUAGCCGGCCUGGGAGGGUGGACGGCCACAGUGGGACUGAGAUACGGCCCAGACUCCUACGGGAGGCAGCAGUGGGGAAUAUUGCACCAUGGGCGGAAGCCUGAGGCAGCGACGCCGCGUGGGGGAUGACGGCCUUCGGGUUGUAAACUCCUUUCGACCGCGAGGAAGCCACCUGGCUGGAAGGGUGGUGACGGUAGUGGUAGAAGAAGCACCGGCUAACUACGUG
RNAcentral lists this ribosomal RNA (494 nucleotides) under uncultured bacterium. RNAcentral's name for it is "partial 16S ribosomal RNA". It matches the Rfam family "Bacterial small subunit ribosomal RNA", at positions 28 to 507 of the family's 1533-position model. The record is from RNAcentral.